RNAcentral lists this long non-coding RNA (1556 nucleotides) under Rattus norvegicus (Norway rat). RNAcentral describes it as "long non-coding RNA NONRATT008360". Lineage: Eukaryota; Metazoa; Chordata; Mammalia; Rodentia; Muridae. The record is from RNAcentral.
CCACCACACUCUGGCACAACAGCCCAAGUUCACUUCAAUGGGCUAAAGAUUCUCCCAUUCUGACACUUAACUUUUAGGAAGAGUGGCCUCUCUUCCAGCCCCCGCCCCUCCACUAGAUCCUAUAGACCUACCAACCCAACUAUUGUUUAGAACUCCAGUUACCAAAGCUUGUCUGAUCCUGGCCCUGGAUCACAUAAGAGCUGUGCCCUGAGUGUCAUAAGCUAUUGUCAUGGAAUAACUUUCUUUGGUGGUGAGACUUGGGGAAGGGAAUUGUUUCUAGCACAUUUGCACCAGGCAUUGACAAAGGACAGGAGUAGAAAUGAAGGCACCUACCAGGGAGUCCGUAGGUCCCAUUGGAAUCUGACCUUGUUUAGUGCUACUUCGUACAUUUAUGAUCUGAUUUACCAUGGACUCCUUUCUCUGAUUCCUAGCUGAAGGUCUCUAGUUCUUUAUCCAGCCAGGCUCUCCUCAGUGGAAGUGGCUUCAUAAGAAUCAGGGGGGAAAUUUGUCUGAGCCAUUCCCCUGACUGAUUACCCUGGGAGGAGACAGAAUAUUUGUCCAGGACUUUUGUUUGUUUGCUUUGAUCCUGUAGUAAACAGAACUGACCCCCUCAAUGAGGUGAGAUCAUGAGAAACAUUUUCCAUCUCCCUCUGUUAUCCUGCUUUGAGAAGAAAAAUGAAAAGUGCCAGAGGAAAUUGCAUUUAGAACUCCAAAGGUGAGAGGAGUGAUCUCCCCGCCCCCCACAUGAUUUGAUUUUUAAGCCCUGGAGAACUGGAGGCUAUAGAAGCCAUGACCUUUCAGCUUCUCCUCAAAUAAAAAACAAGCCAGUCUUCCCUGCAGCAAACUCUGCCAAGCUUCUCAACUGCCUUCUCCCUGUCUUUCUGUCCGCUCCCAUCUCUGAGGACCCAGUGUGUGCUAUAGGGCCUGUGGCUACCAUCUAGGGUGUCUUAUACCUGUGCCAACCAUUUCCUGAACAAGUUGGCAUCUUGAAAUAGAAAUAGCUACCAUUUAAUCAAACUUUGAGCAAGAAGCAAUAGUCCUCCUGGGCUGAUGAUCACCUGCUUAGCAUCAUGACAUUGGAGUUAGCUUGCCAUUUUCUGUAACCUCCCCCAUUUUUGUGAUGCAGACCCAGUGACCUAUUCAAGGCCAAAAACGCAGAUGGAGUUUUCACUUUUUAAUCCAUCAUGGACUUCAAACAGCUAAGAGAGGGAGGAAGAAAGGGAAGCCUAUAGGUUAUAUAAAAUUUAACUAGAUGUAGGCCAACCAUGCAGAACCAGAGGUAAGCGCUUUCAAAGGACUUGAGGGCUGUGAUACAGGGCCACCUCAGACACCAUGACAGCUACAAGUCCUUGAUGGAUUUGUUCAAAUCUCUGGGACUCGGUUUCCUCACCUAGUUGAAUUAGAGUUUAGACCAAAAGAAUUUCUAAUGCUCCUUUAGGUUUAACAGUCAAUAAUGUUUAUCUGUGAUAGGAAAGCAGAAUCAAAGUUGGCCUUGGUGAGCCAUCAUAAUUAAGGAAAAGCCAGAAUCUUUGUGAAGGAGAUGGGGAAAGGGAAGG